AGUGAACGCUGGCGGUAGGCCUAACACAUGCAAGUCGAACGGCAGCACAGUAAGAGCUUGCUCUUACGGGUGGCGAGUGGCGGACGGGUGAGGAAUACAUCGGAAUCUACUUUUUCGUGGGGGAUAACGUAGGGACACUUACGCUAAUACCGCAUACGACCUACGGGUGAAAGCAGUGGAUCUUCGGACCUUGCGCGAUUGAAUGAGCCGAGGUCGGAUUAGCUAGUUGGCGUGGUAAAGGCCCACCAAGGCGACGGUCCGUAGCUGGUCUGAGAGGAUGAUCAGCCACACUUGAACUGAGACACGGUCCAGACUCCUACGGGAGGCAGGAGUGGGGAAUAUUGGACAAUGGGGGCAAGCCUGAUCCAGCCAUACCGCGUGGGUGAAGAAGGCCUUCGGGUUGUAAAGCCCUUUUGUUGGGAAAGAAAAGCAGCAGGUUAAUACCCCGCUGUUCUGACGGUACCCAAAGAAUAAGCACCGGCUAACUUCGUG
RNAcentral lists this ribosomal RNA (492 nucleotides) under uncultured bacterium. Its description in RNAcentral is "partial 16S ribosomal RNA". It matches the Rfam family "Bacterial small subunit ribosomal RNA", at positions 29 to 507 of the family's 1533-position model. The record is from RNAcentral.